RNAcentral lists this ribosomal RNA (253 nucleotides) under uncultured bacterium. RNAcentral describes it as "partial 16S ribosomal RNA". It matches the Rfam family "Bacterial small subunit ribosomal RNA", at positions 524 to 776 of the family's 1533-position model. The record is from RNAcentral.
UACAGAGGGGGCAAGCGUUGUUCGGAAUUACUGGGCGUAAAGGGCGCGUAGGCGGCCUGUUAAGUCGGACGUGAAAUCCCUCGGCUCAACCGGGGAACUGCGUCCGAUACUGGCGGGCUUGAAUUCGGGAGAGGGAUGUGGAAUUCCAGGUGUAGCGGUGAAAUGCGUAGAUAUCUGGAGGAACACCGGUGGCGAAGGCGGCAUCCUGGACCAAUACUGACGCUGAGGAGCGAAAGCCAGGGGAGCAAACGGG